GAGGCUAUAGCUUAGAGGUAGAGUGCAUGCCUAGCAUGUGUGAGGUCCUGGGUUCAAUCCCCAGUACCAUCA
This 72-nucleotide transfer RNA is filed under the name Camelus bactrianus (Bactrian camel). It matches the Rfam family "tRNA". From Rfam's summary of the family: Transfer RNA (tRNA) molecules are approximately 80 nucleotides in length. The record is from Rfam by way of RNAcentral. Lineage: Eukaryota; Metazoa; Chordata; Mammalia; Artiodactyla; Camelidae. RNAcentral also lists the same sequence under 3 other names.